This is an RNA transcript of Hordeum vulgare subsp. vulgare (domesticated barley), 2166 nucleotides long. It is a transcript of the gene named transcription initiation factor TFIID subunit 12b, with no coding region annotated. The transcript has 8 exons. Lineage: Eukaryota; Viridiplantae; Streptophyta; Magnoliopsida; Poales; Poaceae. The record is from RefSeq and is a predicted model, not a curated record.
UCCCACACGACCGGCACCUAGUCCCCGCCCCUCCACGCGACCGUCCACCCCGCAUCGUCUCCGGCCACCGCCGCCCGCGGAAACCCUAUACCCCGCCUGCCAUGGCGGAUCCGCCGUCCGUAGCCGCCAUAGCCUCGCCGCAGCCCGACCAGCUCGGCGGCUCCGCCCCCAUCCCGCAAAACUCCAACCCUACCCCCCUCCUGUCCCCCCAAAUCCCCCCCUCCCCCACCGUCUCCGACCUCUCCGUCAUCUCCUCCCCGCAGCUCGAUCCAGCCGCGGCAGCUGCGGGCGGAGGGUCCGCGGACUUCCCGCCUCGUCCGCAGCAGCUGCAGGCGCCUUCGCCCACGCAGGCAGUGCCCGGCGCCGGAGGCUACGGCCAGAUCCAGCGCUCGGGUUCGGCUUCCCGCCUCGCCGCUGCCAGCCAGCUUCCACAAUACUCCGCGGCAACGGCCAGGAUGUACGGAGGGCAGAUGAGCUUCUCAGGUGGCGGAGCGCAGCUGGGGCAGCAGCAGCAGCAGCAGCUGGCGGCCCGCGCUGCAAUGCUUGGUCAGGGGCAGCUCGGGAUGAUGCAAGGGCAGGGCAACGCGGCUUCUGCCGCGCACUACGGGCUCCAGUCGCAGAUGAUGGCACAGCCAAGGCAAAAAGGAAUGGUACAAGGUGCACAAUUUAAUACUGCCAACGCAGCUCAAGCCUUGCAAGGCAUGCAAGGGAUGCAAUCCAUGGGAGUCAUGGGUACUUUGGGGAUGAACCAGAUGAGACCAAAUGGAACUAUUCCAUAUGCUCAACAACGCUUUGCCCAGGCCCAAAUGAGGCCGCAGCAAGCGUCGCAGCAAGCCGCACUAUCUCCGCAGAAGGGAGUUGCUCAAGGCUUGUCGAGAACGGCAUCGAUCACAGGAUUAAACUCACAACUGCCUGGAGUGUCACAAAAUGGGCAGAUGAUGCAAAUGUCAUCUUCGCAACAACAGCAGCAGCAGUGGUUGAAGCACAUGCAAUCAUCUUUGGCCUCACCAUCGCAACACCAAAUUCAGCAGCAGCAAAGGAUGCUAUUGAUGCAACAACUUCAGAAAACAGGGCUGACUCCACACCAGAUUGCACAAGCCCAACAACAGCAUCCACAUCUCAAUGCCCAGCAGUUGUUGCAGCAGCAGCACAUUAUGCAGCAGCUUCAGCAGCAGCAACAGCAACAGCAACAAUCUCCAAGGAUGUCAGCAUCUGGCUCCCAGAAGUCUGCAAACUUGACAGGAUCGCAGCCGGGCACGCCUUUGUCAUGUGGUACUAUGGCUGGUGGAAGUGGAAGUCAAGGAGCAGAAGGAACUAACCAACUUCUUGGGAAGAGAAAAAUACAAGACUUGGUUGCACAGGUGGAUCCCCUCGGCAAACUUGAUCCAGAAGUGGAAGAUUUGGUUUUAGAGAUUGCUGAUGACUUCAUUGAAUCGGUGACUGCAUUUGCGUGUACCCUGGCAAAGCACAGGAAGUCAUCCGUUCUGGAAGCCAAGGAUGUGCUGCUGCACUUACAGAGAAAUUGGCAUCUGACAGUUCCUGGUUUUUCGAAGGAAGACAAGAAUCCACAGAGAAAUUAUAACUGCAACAGGUAAAGGCAGCAGUGGAUUCCCAACAGCCAGAGUGUGACGCUGCUGGAGUUAGAAGCGCAACCAAUAAAUUAGUUGCUAAUAAUUCGAUUGGCAAUCAUCAGACCAGAGGUCCGGUUGCAGAUCCUUCACAAACACCUACAGUGGGCCCUCUGUCAAAAGUUCCUCGUUUCUGAGCUCUGCUGUUCCCCUCGGUGGAAAGUGCAGGUUCUAGGACAUACAACUCACCAAUGGUCUCUAACUCAAUGGAUAACUCGAUGGGUAUAUGAGCAUCUGUGGACAAACGGCGGCUGCUUGUUUACCUAUCCAAUCCGGCUUGUCUCGAAGUCGAAGGAAAAGGCAGUUGCUGGCUGACAGGGCCGUUCGCGUUGCAUCAGUCGUCUGUAACCUUAUUGUCCAUGAAUCUUUGUGGCUUCCCCUGUUCCUUGUACAUAACGUUUUGCAAACGGGGCAGCCUUUUUUUCGUUUUGAAUGCCUUUAUGCAGACAUGGAGCCUUUUAUUCUUGUGCUAUGCUGUUGCCGUGUGGGUAGUGCAAGCAAACUCGUAAUUUAGACAAAUUAAAGAAAAAUGUAUGUA